UGGGGAAUUGUUCACAAUGGGCGCAAGCCUGAUGACGCAACGCCGCGUGGGGGAUGAAGGUCUUCGGAUCGUAAACCCCUGUCGAAUGGGACGAAAGACUCGCGAGUGAAUACUUCGCGAGAGUGACGGUACCGUUAAAGGAAGCCACGGCUAACUCUGUGCCAGCAGCCGCGGUAAUACAGAGGUGGCAAGCGUUGUUCGGAAUUACUGGGCGUAAAGGGCGCGUAGGCGGCCUUCUAAGUCGGACGUGAAAGCCCCAGGCUUAACCUGGGAACUGCGUCCGAUACUGGAAGGCUUGGAUUCGGGAGAGGGAUGUGGAAUUCCAGGUGUAGCGGUGAAAUGCGUAGAUAUCUGGAGGAACACCGGUGGCGAAGGCGGCAUCCUGGACCGAGAUCGACGCUGAGGCGCGAAAGCUAGGGGAGCAAACGGGAUUAGAUACCCCCGUAGUCCCUGAGCGGGCUGGCAAGGCGCAU
RNAcentral lists this ribosomal RNA (473 nucleotides) under uncultured bacterium. RNAcentral's name for it is "bacterial SSU rRNA". It matches the Rfam family "Bacterial small subunit ribosomal RNA", at positions 355 to 825 of the family's 1533-position model. The record is from RNAcentral.